This 253-nucleotide ribosomal RNA is filed under the name uncultured bacterium. RNAcentral's name for it is "partial 16S ribosomal RNA". It matches the Rfam family "Bacterial small subunit ribosomal RNA", at positions 524 to 776 of the family's 1533-position model. The record is from RNAcentral.
GACAGAGGUCCCGAGCGUUAGGCGGAAUCACUGGGCUUAAAGCGUGUGUAGGCGGAUGCCUAAGUACCUUGUGAAAUCCCACGGCUCACCCGUGGAACUGCUUGGUAUACUGGGUGUCUUGAGCCACUUAGGGGCUACCGGAACAAAUGGUGGAGCGGUGAAAUGCGUAGAUAUCGAGAGGAACACCAGUGGCGAAGGCGAGUCUCUGGACGACUCCUGACACUGAGGCACGAAAGCUGGGGGAGCAAACAGG